UUCACUAUCGUUGGUAGGACCAUACUAUCUAACACCUCUGUUGAAAGGUUCCAUGAAGUAUCAUCUGAAAGUGGAUUAACUGGCACUUCAUAUGUCUUCUUGAAGUAUUCUUUGGUGUAAUAUGCCGAACAAUAUUUGGGUGCUUCCAUGUGUGUGUAGUCCAAUACUACCAUAGCAUGUGGACAAGGAAUCUCAUCCACUUGAAAUCAUUUGCACGAGAAUUUUCUUUUUUGCAUGCAACCUAUGUUCCGGCUUUAUUCAGCAUCCAUUACUAUAUAUACAUAAUCGGUUGAAGGCCUCAGCUAUAUUUAAAUAGAUGUCAUUAGUAAAACGAAAACAUGGAUAUGAGAAGUAUUAAUGCAUUUUUGUCAAAGUAUGUUACUCCAGCAUAUGAAGUAAGAUACGCUAAAAGAAUAUUUACCCCCUUCUUCUGCGACACAUAGCUAUUUUCCUUCAGUACUUCAUGAUAUUUUUUUCUACACCAAUAAAUGUACUCAUUACAGUUAUUCUAUUUGUAUUAUUCCAUUCCAUAACCAAAUUCAUCAUGUAAUCUAGCAAACUCAUGAUUGGUAGCUCUCUUGCCUCUCUGUUCCUUGCAUUGAGUGACUCAGCUAUAUUUGAAGUCAUCACCAUGGAUCUAUUAGCAGUGAAAUGCACUAUAGACCACUUUUCAUAACCAACUUGGAAUAGGUAAACUCUUACCCUCUUAUCAAUGCUGUCCAUAUCUUCCAUUAGGAGAUUAAAAUCUUCAAUUUUGUAUGCUCUAGCCAUUGCAAAAAAUACUUCCCUCAGCCGAUCAUGGUUCUUCUUGAACUGCUUCUUUAUGUUAUUCCAAAGAUGAAAGAUGCAUAUACAGUGAGAUACCUCUGUAUAUCAAUAUUUGAAGUCAUCCCCAUGGAUCUAUUAAUAAUGAAAUGCACUAUAGACCACUUUUCAUAACCAACUUGAAAUAGGUAACUCCUUAGCCUCUUAUCGAUGUUGUCCAUAUAUUUCAUGAGGCAAUUAAAAUCUUCAAUUUUGUGUGCUCUGACCAUCACAAAAAAUACUUCCCUCGGCCGGUCAUGGUUCUUCUUGAAUUGUUUCUUUAUGUUAUUCCAAAUAUGAAAUAUGCAUAUACAGUGAGAUACCUCUGGAUACACAAUCAAAAUACCCCUCAAUAUGCUUGCAUGACAAUCCGAUACGAUGCACAUCUUUUCCCUUUUCCCAAAAGCCUGUCUAAACAUUUCGAAAAAUCAUUCCCAUGAAGCAUCAUUUUCAUAAUCUACAACAGUGAAUGCUAGUGAAAGAAUUUUACCUGGUUAAAAAAAUAAGAAAGCAUUCACAUGUUAUUUUUGUUAUACACGUAUAAGAACUAUCUAUACCAUACAUAAUUAUCAUACAAGACUGCAACAUAUUUACCUGCCGCAUUUUGUGCUUUAGAUGUUAACAUGCUCCCCUGUGUGAUAAUUUGAGGAAUGUCCCAUCAACCACUACAAUAGGGUAAAAAUAUUUCAAUCCUAUGAUUGUUGCAUUUAGUGCAACAAAAACAUACAUGAAGCGCCCAUCCUCUGAUUUAUGUAACAUUGUGAAAGAACAAGAAAUUGUCAUAUUUAUCAUAUACAAGUGACCUGGCAAUUUUUUAUAAGAUUCACAUGGUAUCCUUCUUAGUAGUUCAAGUGCCUUUUAUUUUGUUCUAUAGGCUUUUAUGUAACUCAUAGUAAUCUCAUACUAUUGUUUCAUGGCGCUCAUGAUGUCUGCCGGAGUGUAUAUUGUUUUUGGGUUGGCAUAUUUGUUGCAAAUCAUUUUUGCAAUGGUAGACGAAGUAGCAUGAUGUUGUGAAAACAGUCUAGUCAUCUCUGGGCAAGUAUGAACAUCAUUGAACCGUCUAACCUUCGAAGACAUUUGAUUUGUGUAGGCUUGAAGAUCUAAGACUCCAUUUGAAACUUUCAUCCACACAUGUAAGAUAAUACUUAUUUAAAAUAUAGGGUUAUGAUAAUGCAUUUCUUCAGAUUUUUACACUUGUAUCUCAAAUAAAGAACCAUUAUACAUAUGUAAUCUCACUAUACCAUAAUGAUUUAAUUUUUAUACAAAUAUGUAUACAUAAAAUUACGCUAUGCACUUUUUAAUACAGAUCUAUAUACAUAAAAUCAAGAGAAGUGCAAUCUCACUAUACAAUAAUUAUACAGUUUUUAUAUAGAUCUGUAUACAUAAAAUUAUAUAUAAGUGCAACCUCAUAAGUAGAAAUCAUAACUUGUUGUAGAUGAUCUAUCGACUAUAAAUUGACAUUUUUCUCGUAUUGCAUAGUGCUUUAUUACACUAAUAAGUGUAUCUUUCUCCCAAUACAACUGACCUUCUGCAAUUUCUUCAUGUUGUGGAUUGUCUAUUAUACAAUUUUCCUUCAAUAUGUCAAUUUUGUCUUCCUUUGCAUGAUCAUGAUUAUCUCAACAAUAUUUGUUUCGUGUACUUCUUCUACGUUCUGACAUUGUAAACCAACUGAAGUUGUUGCGAGUAAGUUUCCAGCUAAAGUUGUUGCGAGCAAGUUACCACCCAAGUAUGAACUUGAAUAUGAGCAUUCAGCACUUGAAUACACAGUUUUCAAUGUUAUGCAUAAUGAAUAUUCAGUAAUAUUCAGAUUUUCCUUUUUCAUCUCCAUAUACAAGCGCACACUCAUAUCAUUGUAUAUUGGAAUUGCUAUAUAGCCAUCCUUCACGGUAUAUUUUAUCUCAUUGCACUUGUAACUGAAUCUCUACCCAAUUGCUUGUAUAUCUUAUCAAAAAAGUAAUCAUAGCUACAGUCCGAAUUGAUCAACACGCCAUUAAUAAGGAAAAUAACAAAUUUACUCUCACUGACCCAUUCACCACUGUGUUGAAGUAAAAUCGGAAUCAAAGUUGGAACGGUAGUUUCAACAUUCACAAUCUCCAUAGACAUUAGUUGAUUUUAUCAAUUUGUAUUAAUUUCACAAUUUAAGAACGAAAUCUUAGCUUUAUUAAUUUCAGUGUAAAAUUUUGAGAGCUCUUCUCUGGGUUUAAUCUUCACAAACCCUAGAAUUAUUUUACAAUGUGAAUCAUUGGGCGACUUUUAUAGUAUUUGGAGGUUGAAGAUCUCAUACUACGACUGCUUUUCUUUUCGUUUGCGUAGAGCGUAUAGUUUUAGCUUUUCCAAUUGCUAGCCUUUGUUAUUGUUUUGAGGCUAUUAUUUAUAAGGGGUUAUUUUGUUGCUAUAGGUGAUAUAAGUUUGGACAUAAUUGCUACAAAUAAAGUUUGCUCUAUCAUUUAACCAGGAUUUUAUUAUGACUCCUAAUCUCCGAAGAAAUGGAGGUACCCACGUUUCUCCUAUAAAAAGGGUCUAGCAAUCUCUUCGUAUUAUAGGAGGCUAAUGUAUGAGACCAUUGUUUGAUGAACUUCUUUUAGUCCAAAAAAUAGCAUUUUUCCCAUAAGGUAUGCGAAAGAGAAGUUUUUUUAUAUGAACUUGAAAGUACCUAUGACUAAACAAUUACGGAUAGUCCAAAUUAUGUAGAGGGUGAUUAGAUUAGCUUUUACAUUGGUCAGAUUAGCUUUUAAGCUUUUAUUUUAGCUUUUUUUAAUAUUUGACAAAGUCAAAAAAUGCUUUAAAUAAGUUCAAAACGACUUAAAACAGGCCAAAAGCAAAAAGUUGAGCAACCCAACUUAUUGCUUUUUGGCUUAAAAAUUAUUUUUGCAGAAAAAUUAUAUUUUUUAAGCCAAGCCAAACUAGCUAAUAAUCCUAUUUCUCUAAGUAUAUAAUCUUACACCAUGAUUCAUUAGUUGAAUUAAAGGAAGAUUCCAUUAAAAUAAAGAAAAUUUUAUUAAACUUGGCAUGCAAAAACACUAAAUAACAUCUAACAAUUAUUUGUAGAAGAAAUAAGUGGUUCCCUCAAGCUCUAUUGUUUUCCUUGUGUCCUUAUUUCCGUAAGUGUUUUCACUUCAUUGGUGACCCACAAAUAGAAGUAGAGCUGGAAUUUGAAGUUUAUGACCGUCUAUUUAAAUUACUGAAUUCUAAAUUAAUAAUUUAUAUAUAUUAGAUUUCUUAAGACAAAUAUAGAGCUUGAAUUAAAGUUACUGAGUUCGACAACUCAUAACCUGCAUCCCGGCUCCGCCCUUGCAUAUAGAUAUUUACUUUUUCUAGGACUUGGGACUAUUUUUGCUAUGUCAUAUUUGUUUGGGACAUUCCUCGCAUUAAUAUAUAUUUAUGUUAUAAUUCUGGGAAGUAUAUUUUGAUUUAUGAACCUAUGCACUUGUGGUGCAGGAAUAUCGUGACAACAUGGAGAUUAGACUGAGCCAGAAAAAAAAGGAAGAGGGCAGACUCAACAACUCAAAAGCUAAUCUCAGCCUUUUGGCCAUUGUGGAUACUAGAGGAGAUACAAUAUAUAAUGGGUUCGCGGAUUCAGCAGAACCUAGUGAUACGAUUUAACAAGUAUAGCUCGAGUUAAGGAAAUCUAUGAACACGCGAGGCUAAAUAUAGUAUGAAAUCUCAAACCAUUAAUAAUAUAUGAACAGGCUUUAGCUGUAAACAUCAAUGAAACACUUAAGGAUCAAACUUGACUGCAAAAUCGCGAUUCAAGAAGCAUCAGUGUUGCAGUAAAUAACAUGAUAUAAAGGCACUAAACAAUACCAAGAUCCAUCCCCUUUUCCACACUGCCAAAAACAGAAUUUAACGUGCAGAAGUUUGUUCUAUUAAGAUCUGAAUAAGAUCUUUAGGUGAGCUUAAAUGUAUCAUCUAAAAGAUAUUGACAAAAACAUAAACAAGUCUACCUCUUAGAUUGUGUUUUAGAAUGCAACUUUAUGGUCUCCUCUUGGACUUGUUGCGCAUAAACCCUUCCAUAAAAUCUUCGACGAGUAGGUUUGGUUUUACUUCAUGGAGCAAUCCUGGUUUCUUCAUCUUAGAAUUCUGAAAAUAACUGGUAAAAGUGAGUAGAGUUAGUAACCAUACUGAUCUGAUAACCCAAAAUAGGAUUAUUAAUUUGGUAGCAAAACAAGUCAUCAACAGAAAAACAAGCACAAAGGCUGUAGCACCAACUUCUGUUUUUUACUUUCCAUGCAUUAUUUCCCUUAUAGACAAAAAAGGCUGCCCAAUGGACAAAGCAUUCUGCAUUUACGCAAGGUCCGGGGAAGCUGCGCACCCUAAGGGGUGUGAUAUAGACUUACUUUCUGAAUAUACAACCAACACUUACAUGGAACUUCUUGAAGAUCCUGGUUUGUCCCUCAAACUCAAAGCUUCCAGUUGGUGUGCCAAGUUCUUGUCUUGAUCACCUUGAGCUGAGCUAGUUCUUGAGACAGCAUUUCCAUCAAUUGGCCAAGUCAUUGGAAGUAUUAAGUCUCUACAGAACAAGAAAACUUGUCAUGUCAGCAUUUCAAUGUUUUCAACAACAACAACAACAACCCCAGUAUAAUCCCACUUAAUGGGGUCUGGGGAGGGUAGUAUGUACGCAGACCUUACCUCUACNNNNNNNNNNNNNNNNNNNNNNNNNNNNNNNNNNNNNNNNNNNNNNNNNNNNNNNNNNNNNNNNNNNNNNNNNNNNNNNNNNNNNNNNNNNNNNNNNNNNNNNNNNNNNNNNNNNNNNNNNNNNNNNNNNNNNNNNNNNNNNNNNNNNNNNNNNNNNNNNNNNNNNNNNCCCCCGGCAUCCUUCCCUCCAAGAACAUCCCACCUUGCUCUUGGGGAGACUCGAACUCACAACCUCUCGGUUGGAAGUGGGGGUCCGCGAAGCAAACAUGUGCUACACCCAACCUCUUGCAUUUAGGAUGGAACUUGAACUCGUUCCUCAUUAUCAUUUGCACAAGUUGUCUACGUAAAUACUCCAAGGCCAGAACAAAGAGGUAUGGAGACAUCGGGUCGCCUUGUCGCAAACCUCUUUUCCCUUUAAAUGGAGCAGUGAGGCCACCAUUGAAGUUGAGAGAAUAGGUAACAGAGGAUAUACAUUCCAUAACCCACCCGAUAAAUUUAUGAGGAAAGUCCAAAUUCUGCAGCAGUCUAUUAAUGACAGACUGAACAUCUGCCAUACAGAACAAAAGAAGAUCAUCCGCGAAGCAAACAUGUGCUACCCCCAACCUCUUGCAUCUAGGAUGGAACUUGAACUCAUUUCUCAUCAUCAUUUGCACAAGUUGUUAUGUAAAUACUUCAUGGCCAGAACAAAGAGGUAUGGAGACAUCGGGUCGCCUUGUCGCAAACCUCUUUUCCCUUUAAAUGGAGCAGUGAGGCCACCAUUAAAAUUGAGAGAAUAGGUAAUAGAGGAUAUACAUCCAUAAUCCACCCGAUAAAUUUAUGAGGGAAACCCAGAUCCUGCAGCAGUCUAUUAAGGAAAACCCAUUCUACUGAGUCGUAAGCCUUCUUUAAAUCCACCUUAAGCACACAUAUAGAAGAAAUGCCCUUCCUGAACUAGCCUUUGAACAGUUCUUGUGUGAAUAAGAUGUUAUCAAUAAUACUACGACCGUCAAUGAAUGCUGACUGUGAUCCACCCACCAGAUGGUCAAUAACCACUUUCAACCUAGCUGCUGUGAAUAAGAUAUUAUCAAUAAUACUACAACCCUCAAUGAAUGCUGAUUGUGAUCUACCCACCAGAUGGUCAAUAACCACUUUCAAUCUAGCUGUAAUAAUCUUUGUGAUGAUCUUGUACAGAGUUGUACAGCAGGCAAUGGGCUUGUAGUCCUUGACUUUGGUUGGAUUCUGUACUUUGGGAAUUAGAGUUAGUGCAGUGCUGCUAACUCCAGUAUGUAACUUCCGGGCAAUCCAGUGAGCUCUAGAUUUCUGUUGUAAGAUUUGAUCCUCUAUAUUGCUCCACUUCUUCACCUCCAUAAGUAGCAGCCUCUCCUGGUCAAUCAACCAUUUGUCCAUACAAUUGUAUUGCAAGUGAUUCUGUAUGGUUUCCAGCUUCUACCUUGCCUCACUGAGAUGUAACCUAUACUUUGCCAUAUAGGUAUUCAGUUCCUUUAACCCCACCUUUAGGGCCUUCAACUUAUUCCAUAAUCUCUGCAUUUGCCCUCCCUGCUAAUGCUGAUUCCAUACCCUUUCCACAAUGCCAGGGAAUUCAGUAUGGUCCAUAACAGAUGUAUACAGUUUGAAAGGCUUAGGAUGAAUGUUCCUUCUCUGUUCCUCAGGGCUACACAGUAAGAGGAUAGGGGAAUGAUCUGAAACUCCCGGAGUCAACACAUCAGCUUCAAUGUGACUGUAUUCCUGCAUCAAGUGCACAUUCCAAAGACCUAAUCAAUUUUUCUAUACACUCUUGUCUCUGGCUUUUGUUUAUUUCACUACGUAUAAAAACAGCCCAAACUCUUCAACUAAGUGAGUUGAAGAGCAAUGAGAGUGUCUUGGAAACCUUGAAUCUCCUGUUGCAUAACUGGAGCACCUAUUUUGUCAUCCGUGUGGAGUACAUUAUUGAAAUCUCCACUGAGAAGCCAGCUGCCCUGAAUAGUAUCCCCUAAGAUCAACAAUUUGGCCCAAAGUUGUUGUCUCUUGCUCAAUUCAUUAUUUGCAUACACGACUGUUAUCAGUGUUCUGAAGGUUGUACCUCUUUCUUUAACCUCACAGUGAAUAAAUUGUUCAUCAAUCUUCAAUACCUGCAGAUCAACUUUUGAAUUCCACAGUAUCCAGGUUCUCCCAUUGGGAUGCUCAUUGUAGUUCCCAAUAUGUCUCCAAUCAUUCCCCAGUUUUGUAACAAUCUGUUUCACCUUUGCUUCCUUCAAGCUCACUGUAGUUUCUAGUAUGUCUCCAAUCAUUUCCCAGUUUUGUAACAAUCUGAUUCACCUUUGCUUCCUUCACUCUAGUUUCUAUACAUUCAUACAAUCUACUUUAUGCUUUUUCAGAAAGUGUCUCAGCUCCUUCUGUUUAUGGGAAUUAUUUAGACCACUAAUGUUCCAUGUGCAGACUAUCAUGAUGUGGUGAAGCUGGAUGGGCCAGCGUCCCCUGGAUCAUCACCUAUCUGUAGCAAAGAGAAGCUGUUAGUUGUGUUCAAUGAGGCUCCGUCACAUUGUUGUACAUUCUUUCCUUUUGCCAACCCUCAAUCAAUCACCCUGCUUCCAGCAUUGUCAGUGUGCUUACAUUCCUCCACUGUUCUAUCAGUUUUAACCACUACAUUAUCCUUCUUUGUUUUUUGGUAUCCAUUGCCAUGUCUCACUUUGCACUUUCUGCUUUACCCCUGCUGCCUUAUAGUGGUUCUGUGCUACCUCUUCAUUGCCCUGCCUCUUUAUAUACCAACAGUCUUCAGUACUAUGACCAAAUCUGACACAGUCAUUGCAGUAUUUUGGCCUCCAUUCGUAUUCAAUCUGUUGUAUGAUAACCAAGCAGUCUUCAGUGCUAUGACCAAAUCUGACACAGUCACUGCAGUAUUUUAGCCUCCAUUCGUAUUCAAUCUGUUGUAUGAUAACCUCCCUCUUUGUAUGUAACUCAAGACUAUAAGGCAAUGGUUGGGAUAUGUAUGUUUCCACCAGAACUCUUGCAAAAGAUAUCCUCUCCAGUUCAGCAGUGAUUCCAUUGGUGUACAUAGGUUUCCCAACUACACUUGCUAGUUUUACGAUUGCUUCAGUGGACCAAAAUCCAAGUGGCAAGCCAGGGAAAGUGACUCAUAAAGGAACUACACUCAUAUUACCUGGUUCAUACUUGAAGUCCAUACUCCACUGUUGCAACACUAAUGGUUUAUUAUGAAAUAUGUAUGGACCAGCCUGAAGAACAAGGUCCCUAUCUUCAUUGGUGUCAAAUUUGAAAAAUAUAAUAACCUUCGUCAUGAUGCAGCACUUGAGGUUUUGGGACAAAAUCCCAAACAUUUGUAAUAAAAUUGUCCAUAGCUCGCUCAUACGGGUAUUCUCCUAGUAAAAAUCCAAUCAAUGCACUGCUCCAGUAGGUCUCAUGUUCCUUCGUAUCAUCGUUAUCAUUUUGAACCACAAACGUACAAUCUCGCAUUACAGGUGGUACAUAGCUUAGGGAUUUCCCUUUUUGAGGGCUUCGAUUAUGUUGCAUGUUGUCUCUGUUACCAUUUUUAGCCAUAGGAACACCAGAGAUCUGACCAAUCUGAGCUUGUUUUGCUUGUGCAGAAAAAUGGAGCCGUCGAUGAACUGUAUCGACACGUUCCAUCCCCAACAUUUCACCCUCGCCUUCAACAAUUUCCUCACUGAUAGAUUGGAAUUUCAACGGUAGGAAACUGCCAAAUGUUACUGGUAUCCUCUGCUGGACACCAUUUUCCGGCGUUAUCUGCAUCCCGAAUUUUCCAGUUCCGCUAGGGUUGUGAAAGAUUGUCGGCGUCCAACCCAUUCCGAUUAACCACUGUGUAGGCUUAUUCAUAGCUGGUGUUUCUAUUUUCUCCACCUCCGGUAUCAAUUUUGGCACCGGUUGUUUUUUCCGUCCUCUCACCAUGGUUGGAGGCGCAGGUUAGCGUCCUGCUUAUCCUGCGCCGAGAGCUUUUUAGAGAGAGAAAAUCUCUAUCAAGAUGUCAAAUAUCACUCAUACUUGUAUAUACUUUUUUUGAUACUAUCAAUACGUAUAACUUAAAUGCAUAUAUGAUCCUAAAUGAUUUUAAUUUACAUAGACAGUGGUGACAUCAUUUUAUGCUAUUAAUGUAGUUUUUUUGUUUUUUAAUUUAAAGUCACCUUUUAUGGUGUAGGGGUUCUAGCGGUAUUUUUGUGCCUCGUCUUUGUGAAAAUAGUACGGGCUAACAAUUGAAAAAUAGUCAGUAUUUGCAAAGUUAUUUAAAAAUAGGCAAAUUUGUGCUGCAACACGGAAAAUUCCAACAUAAUAUACUAGAAUUGACGCACCCGGUAGCGGAGGCAGGAUCUCCACGAAGGGGGUUUAAAAAAAAUUGUAGCUAGCGGAAAUUGAACCUUUGACCUAAUGAAGGUUCUGAAUCCCUUUAACCACUAAACGACACUUUUGAAUUGUGUUAAGGGAGUUCAAAAGUUAAUAUAUAGAGAUAAAAAAUAGAUUAUAUAUAUAUANNNNNNNNNNNNNNNNNNNNNNNNNNNNNNNNNNNNNNNNNNNNNNNNNNNNNNNNNNNNNNNNNNNNNNNNNNNNNNNNNNNNNNNNNNNNNNCCCGCCCCUCUCUUUUUUUUAAAUGACCCUUCUUCAAUAAAAUUGAAAUAAGAUGGUACACACAUUCUUAGAUCUUGCCACCUUUCACUUUUAUUAAGAGUCACUAAAUGAAAAUAAAGAGGGCUACCACGUGGGGGUAGGAAGGGAAAUUUUAAAUUAUCCCAACUUGUUACUUGAUUAGAUAAUAUUCUGUUACCCGAUAAUAAUCUAUCUCUUAUUUCGGAGAAAUAAGUGGCUCACGAGGAAUGGAAAGAAACAUAUUCUAUUUGAUCUCUAAGUCCGUACAUAGCAUGAUCAUAUUGUACCAUAUAAUAUAUAUAUAUAUAUAUAUAUAUAUAUAUAUAUAACUUCCAGCAUUUAUGCUGGAACUCCAACACCCGAAAAGUUCCAUCAUAAUAUACUAGAGAUUGGAACACAUGUGCAUGAACUUCCAGCAUAUUAUGUUGAACUAGUAUAUUAUACUAGAACUCCAAUAUAUUAUGGUGACGAAACGACUAGUCAGUUCGCUUUUAAAGAACCUCAUUACCCUAUAUAAGACUUCCCGUACUUUCUUUUGCGGAUUUAUGACUUGCAGGAAUGGUUGGUUCACGAUUUGGAAGGGUUUGGGUUGAAAUCGGAACACUUGGUUCCCCAAGGUUGGCUUAAAGGUCAAGUUUUCGGUCAAUGUUUUGAGUAAACAAACUCGAAAUCCAUAUAUAAAGGUUCCAACAUGUUCGUGUGAUGAUUUCGGACUUGGGCGUAUGUCCGAAUUGGGUUUUGGAUGUCCUCUGAGCGUUUUGGUGUCUAAUAGUGAAAGUUGAUUCCUUAAGGAUUUUGAAGUUCUUAAAUAUUUGGUUUGGAGCUGGUUUUUUUGUUAUCGAGGUCCAAACGGAGUUUCUGUGAUCGGGAAUAGUUUUGAAUUUCCAUUUAAGACUUGUAAACAAAAUUUGAUGUCAAUCCGAGUAGUAUAAGUGUGUUUCGUCGCAUUGGAAGUAAAUUGAAGAGCUUGAAGUUCAUAAGUUUGAUUCAAUUGGUUUUAGGGGUGAUUAUUAGAUUUAGCGUUGUUUCGGGAAUUUUGAAGGUUUGAGCGAGUUCGUUUUAUGAUUUCAAACUUAUUGGUAUGUUCGUGUGGAGCCCGGAAGCCCCGAACGUCAAUUGAACGAGGCUCAAGUGAAGUUAGAAAAUUUAGAAAGGAGCUGAAGCUCUAGUCUUCUAUCAUAAACACACUUGCGGUUGGUCAGUCGUAGGUGCAAGAUCAUAGAAACGGUCGUUCUCUCUCAUGAGCGGCCAGGGCAGGCCAAUCCUAAAGUCACGGGAGCGGCUAAUCUUCCGCAGAAGUGAUUUUCUCGCCGAAGAAGUGGCCCAGCUGAAUUUUCGCAGAAGUGAACACCUUUCCGCAGAUCGGGUGGGCGCAGGUGCAACCCAGGACAACAGAUGCAAAAAUCACUGAAGCAAUGACCUUCAUUUAUUGUGGGUGUUAGCAUUUUUGGCUCAUUUCCCCUCAUAAGUUGCGCGAUUUUGGGCUCUUGAGAGAAGAUUUUUAUCUAGCAUCUUGAGGUAAGUUAUUCCAACUUAUUUUGAAUUUAGUACUUGGGUCUUGGGUAGAUAACACACUAAGAUUAGUGAAAAAUCAUGCGAUUAGAGUAAAAUUAGGGUUUUGAUAAAAAUAAGAUUUAACCACGAAAUUUGUUAUGGAAUAGAGUAAGAUAUCAUAUAUUCUUGAUUCUUAGGUUAUAAAGAACAACUUUCUUCAAAAAAUUUCGGAAUCCGGGCACGUGAGCUCGAUGAAGGAAUUUAGGAUACUUGUGUUUAGGGUUAAAAAAUUACUUUAAUAGUUAGAAUGUGAACUUGUAAGCUUGUAUUGACUAUUUCCUACCUUGUUUAAUUAGUUUUGUAUCAUUCGGAUUCAAAUUGGAGAUUUGAGCGUGUUCUCGAUAUUGGAAGUACGCUUGAAGCGAGGUGAGUCUCUCUGACCUUGUAAGAGGGAAUUAUCCUCAUAGGUGAAAUAAUUGAGUAAUCUGCCACUAAGUGGGGCGGGCUACGUACACAUUAGGUGACGAGAAUCCGUGCGUAGCCAUUAUUAUGCUUAAGUUCAGAUAGUCUAGUACUCAAAAGCAUGCUUUAUGUGAUAUUCUUGUAACUUAAUGGUUAACUUGGAUUGCUUAAAUCAUGUUGAAUGUGGAAAAUGAAAUCAUAAAGAGGAACAUCAUUUUCUUGACCUUUUUAAAGAGAAGUUGUCAUUUCUUUGAGUAAUUGCCUCCCUGAUAUAUUCAUAUCUGGCUAUUUGUUGUGUUUAAUUAUAUUUGAUCGUGUUCACAUGUAUGAUUCACGAGCGGGGUAAUAGAUGCAUAUAUGAUUCGCGCCACUUCGCCACACUUUAUUUUUCUAUUGGAUAGGGCCGUACGACCUUGACACUAUUUGCGCCAUGCCUCUUGCUUGGUAUCUUUAUGUGAAUUGAACUUUGUUGAAUGCCCUGAAAUGUAAAUUGCUAAGUGAGAUAUUAUUUAGGAAAUGACCUAUCACUUCUUGCUAUAAAUUGUUAUUUAUUAGUGACAUCCAAGCUUAGUAUCACAUUUUCUUAUAUUAUUUGACCCUAGUAAGUGUCAAGUCGACCUAUCAUCUCUAUUUCUUUGAGAUUAGACGGGAUAUUUACUAGGUACAUAAUGUUUAUGUACUCAUAUUACGCUUCUUUACUUAAUUGUACAUGAUCUGAUGCAGGUAUAUUUGGCUACCAGUCUGGUGCGUAUUCUUGAUCGUUGUCCGAGAUUCUACGGUGAGUUGCUCCCUUCCUAUGCCGUUCAACAACAUGAUGGAACCUCUCUUUGAUUUUGGCUGUCUAUUUUAUUUCAGACAGUAGAAUAGAUUUACUCUUUUGUAUAUUCUACUAGAUGCCCAUAUACUUGUGACAUCAGGUCUUGGCACACACAUUUGUAGACUAUUAUUUUAGGAUUGUAUAAUUAUUAUUGUACGUUGCUAAUUAUCACGUGUUAUAAAUUCAAAUCAAGAAAUUAUUGUAAUUGUUUUAGUAAAGUAAAAUUAGAAUUCACUAAUAUUUCUACGUUUGCUUGCCUGACUAUGGUGUUCGACGUCAUCACGGCCUGCAAUGAAAUUGAAUUGUGAUAAUUAUGUUUGAAUAUUUUUUAAAUUUUGAAAAAUAUUUUUGUUCAGCUCUAUCUUUACAUAAAAAGUGAUUAAAAUUCAAUUACUUUUAAAAUUAUAGUUAUUUUUCAAUGACCAAUUAUAAAUACAACUAUUUUUUAGUUUCUUCCGUUGUCAUUCGAAGUCCUGUUUAAAAAGUAGUUGCGAGAAUAAUUUGGAUUAAGCGGUCCUUUUUGGGGCCACUAUUGAGACAUAAGUUGGCCAGAGUUUUCCUUGACAUAACUCUGUUACCGUUACUAAGAAAAGUAAGUAAGAAUUACUAUUGAUGUGGCUCUUUGGCUUCAUCACCCCCAACAUGUCUAAUUGUCUACAACACGUUUAUACUAGGUAUGAGGGAUAACCGAAUUAAAUUUAAGGUAAAUUUAUUUCACGUUCGAUUUAGAUAAAAUUUCGAAAUGAUUAAUUUUGGAAUUGUAGUAUUAUUUUUAUAUGUUUAUGCGAAAUGAUCCUUCUAUGUUGUUUAACUUGUUGUAAUAAACUAUCUUACUAAUUUAUAUUCCAUGUUACCAAGAACAAAAAGGAAUCGAAAGGAUUAAGUCAUUGGAAAACACGAAAUAUAUUGUCGACAAACCAACGUCAUGAGGGUGUGAAAGAAGUGAGGUCAUAUAUGGGAAAUGUACAACGAAAUAGCGACGUGAAAGUGACUUUUUUGGGGUCGUUUCGUUUUCUUCGUUGGGAAUUAAAGAGAUUUUAAUUUUUUUUCAUCACCUUUAUAUUCUUUUCUCAUUUGCCAAGACUUAGACGAGUGAACUUGUUAUUAUGACAAAUUAAAAGCCAGUAACUUUUUUCAGCCGACGUCCAUUUCUCUCUUGGUAAAUUUAAUUCGGACUAAGGCCCUUUGUCCAUAAAAUUUUACAAAGUUUUUAAAAAUUGUUUGAAAAUAAGCUUUUUAAUAAAUAAAAAGUGGUUUUGAUCAUUUUGUCAAAACUUUCGAAAUAAAAUUUUCCCAAUCAUAAACCUGCAAUAUUUUUUGUAAUAAAGUACAUGUCCAGAUAUAAUUUUAAAUACUAUUUUUCAACUUAACUCCAAAUACUAAUUUUUUCAAAAAUUAUACUUUUGUUGUCCAAACGCCUACUAAAACACAAUAUAACUCGUUAAAUAAAUAAUUACAAAAUAAUUCUUCUAGAAAAAUAUUUUCUUUGCCUUUUUUCGCUUCAAAGGUUUCACCAAAUUUACUUUAAUGAUACCAAACUAACUUUUUAUAUUUUCCAAAUUUAUAGUAUUUUAAAAAUAGUUUUAAUUUUUUUAUUAUUUUCUGGCUAUUUAUUACUUCCUCCAAUCACUUUUACUUGUCACAUUUUGACCUUUCACGUCCCUUAAGAAAUACUAAUAUAUAAAGUAUAUAAUUUACUAUGAUACCCAUAUUAGUUGAUGCUAUUGUAUUGGAUUUGAGAAGAUGAUUUGAAAUGAGUAAUAAAUUACUAUGAGAAAAAAAAGAAACAAAUUUAUUGUCUUCUCUUGAUAUGCAUAAAGUGCCAAGUAAAAAUAAAUAUUUAUUUUUAAUAUACAUACCAAGUAAAAAUGACCGAAUGGAGUAAUAUAUAAGCUACUAAAAUUUAAAAAUCACGGGGCUUACGUCAAAUUCCAUGAGGUUUAUGGUGCACUUUAUACUAGGUAAAAUGCCCCUCUUUUUAAAAGCUGAUCAAUAUUUAUUAAUGGAAAUCAACUAGAGCUAUUACUAUAAGCAUUUUGAUCUUGAUUUAAAUGAAAAAAUACAUAGUCGAAUCAAAUUAAUUGUCGAAAAAACAAAAAAUCAAAUUAAUCAAGUUGAAAUCAUAAAAAACAAUAAUCAAGUCAGGCCAAUUGCAUCCGUAUAUACUUCUGUCAUGACUCUAGAUAAAGGUAUAAUUUAAUUUGGACAAAGAAAGACAAAGUAUGGUAAUGCGGGUGACAAGAGUAAACAAUAAGAAAUUAGAAAGACUAAAAUAUUUGUGCGAAUUGCCUAAGAAAUUAAAAAAGUACAAAAUAGAGAAUAAGGGCAUCAAAGAUUUUCUUAGAAAAAAAUUAAAAGAGUGCUGGAGUUGGAGGGAAUAAUGCCAAAUAAGAAAAUUGAAAAUGCAAGUAUAUAUAUAUAUAUAUAUAUAUAUAUAUAUACAAGCAAAUGCAAGUACUCAUAUUAUUAUGGAAUUUAAUUUAUUUGACUUUUAUGAUUAUUUGGUUGAAUAGGAAAAAUAAAAGAUUUAGAAUUGCAGAAGGGAAAUUAAAUUCAAACAUUACAACUCCUUGUAAGUUUUCACCACAAAAGAAAUGCCUGACAAGUUCUUGUAUAACACCAAAAUGAAUACUAGGAUAGGGAAAGGAAAAAAGGGAAUCUUACAUAAAUAUCUCAAAAGUCUUAACUUAUCAGUCUCUAACCAUUAAUUAUAGAUUUGUUAUAAUUAGUCAAACACAUAUAAAAAUUAAAAACAUAAACAAAAUAAGGUUCUUUCUUUCAAGAAUCACACACAAAGAUCUCCUUCCCUAUUUUUAAGUGUAAAUUAGCAACAUUAAAUGCAAGUCGGAAAAAAAACUUUGGUGAUGAAAUAGCAAAUAAUAUAUAUAUAUAUAUAUAUNNNNNNNNNNNNNNNNNNNNNNNNNNNNNNNNNNNNNNNNNNNNNNNNNNNNNNNNNNNNNNNNNNNNNNNNNNNNNNNNNNNNNNNNNNNNNNNNNNNNNNNNNNNNNNNNNNNNNNNNNNNNNNNNNNNNNNNNNNNNNNNNNNNNNNNNNNNNNNNNNNNNUAUAUAUAUAAGACUCCAAAAAUCUAACCAAAAAAUGAAAACAUUUCCAAUGGAUAUGGUUGAGAUUCAUUGAAAACAUAUAGAUGAGUCAACAUAUCAAAUUUGAGGAAGAUUGGAGCUGAUUUGAACUGAUUGAGUAUCAAAUUUCGCACUUAAAAUUGAGUUCAAAAAUUCUUUUGCGACAUGUGUAUCAGACAUACAUCACACAUGUAUCCCACACGCAAAUAUACAAGGAUAUACAUGUGAUACACAUCAUACGACACAUGUUUGUUAGACAAGUGAUACACAAUGCGAUACACAUAUCAUUUUUUUCAUGUUCAUUUUCUAUUUCAAAUUUUCAAUCCAAAUUACCUCAAAACUCCACCAAAUCAUCCCAAAAUUGAGAUUCAAACUACUUAAGAUGUACUCAAUCUAUUAUAAUAAUAUCUACUAAAAAGAGAGCAAAAAUUUGACCUCUUUUGGCUACAAAGGGCUAAUUAGCUAGUAUUGAUGAUAUUCUAAAAUUGGCCAAUUUUUAUAAUAAACUACUUAUAAAUGAACAUAGCUGGUAUUUUUCCAAAAAAAAUUCACGCGUUGUGGCCACUUUUUGGUUUUCUAUUUGGUGUCCGGUACCUACAUUGACGUUCGAUUAAAUUAGAUAUCGUAUUGAGAAGUCCUAUAUUGGGGUGAAAAUAGCACAUGCUAACCGGUUUUCGAACUGAUAAUUGAAAAAUAGCCAGCACUUGUAAAGUCAUUGAAAAAUAGUUGUUAUUUUACUAAAACACGAGAAGUUCUAGCAUAAUAUGCUGGAUUAUGGAGCUCCUACGUAUAAACUUUCAGUAUAUUAUGUUGGAACUCCAACACAUUAUGAAAUUUCAGCAUAUUAUGCUGGGAUUGUUUCGGAUUUUUAAGGAUAUUUUUUAUCAGAGUUUAUCAUUACAUGAAAAACUUGUUAAACUUCGAUUAUUUUUAAAAUUGUGGCUAUUUUUUCAUUACCAGUUAUAAAUUUGGUUAUUUUUUAUAUUUGUUUCCCUAUAUUGAGGGAUGAAGCGCUCCUUAUAUUGUUGGUUUAGGUUGUGGCCAUGAAAGAGAAAGAGAACAAAAUAGAGAAACUUUCAGAAACCAUUUACUAUAUUACUUUAUAUGAUUAUAUUUUUAGGGUUUUUAGAGUGUAUACAGUGUAUUUAAGCUACUAUAUUCAUGAAUACAGUAAUAUUUCUAGUCAUGAAACAUGGGAUUACAGCUAGACAAAAUUUUAUAUUCGAGUGUAUUCGACUGUAUAUAUGGCGUAAAAUAUGGGAUUACAACUGGACAAAUUAUUGUAUUAGGCCGUAUUCAUGGUGUGAAACGGGGCAUUACACUAUUUUUAUAAGGAAAGUGAAUCAAUUAACAUAAUAGACUUCUAAUAUAACUCAACAAACUCAAUUAUAAUACACAAAUUUUGUAUUUUCAGUUAUAAAAAAGAUUCUCAACCGAAAAACACCCAAAGAAUAUUGCAAUCUUCAGAGAAAUUACAUAAUACAUCUGAAUUAUAAAUUAUAUCAAUUAAAAAACAUAUGAAUACAUUCAUAGAAUAUAGUGACAUAGUGAAUACAAUGAAAUACACAUAAUAUAUCGGGAUACAUUGAAAUAUAAUGUAAAAAAAAUAAUGAAUACAAUAAAAUACAUAGAAUACAACGAUACAUUAAAAUAUAAUGAAAAAAAGACGAUGGGUACAAUGAAAUACAUGGAGAUACAUUGAAAUUUAUUAACAGAAAAUUCAAAUUGUGCAGCCCAACUCCGCCGUCUUUGUCCAAGAAUAACCCUAAUAUUGUCUCGUUGAAGCAACAUCAGUAUCCAUUCCUCGCUUUCCGACACUAUUGCCCCUGGUUGCCGAUAAUUAGUACGUAAUUACCGCGAAAUAACAGAGGUUUUUGUUGAUCCUAUAUGCUGCGUCAGAGAAUGAGAUUGGGAGGCUGAGGGUGGCGAUAUUAAUGAAUAACGACCACGAUCGAACGAUGACGGUGGCAACUGCUCCAGCGUCCACCAGAGGAGAACACAUCGUGAAGGAGAGAGAGAGAGAGAGAGAGAGAGAGAGAGAGAGAGAGAGAGAGAGAGAGAGAGAGAGUAGAUAUGGGGCAGGGGGUAGGAGAAGUUUGAGGGGAUAUGAGAGAGAAAUAAUACAAAUCUUAUUUUAUGGCUUAAUGUUUGGAGGUAUUAUAAAUAGAUAUUUGAUUAUCAAAAAUUAAGAAGUAGCUAUGAAGUAUAAUUUUUUAAAAAUAUUUAUUUAAAAUAAAUAAAGUAACAACCUUCGCUAUAGGAAAUAACUGAAUCUGUUGGGAGCAGCAUAUAAAACUCUUGAACUUUAACACAAAUUUAUGUCAACAACUUAAAUUUCUUGAGACAUUACCUUUAGACUAGAUUCAGAAAUAUGCAUGAGUACCAUUCUCAAAACUAAUUAACUGGCCGAAGGUCAUGCCAAUAAGUUGAGCUGAAAAGAGCAAGAAAAAGGAAAAGAGCUCUGUUUGGUAUAAAAAAAAAAAAUUUUCCGUCAAAAAUAUUUUUUUUAAAAAUAUUUUCUUGAAAAAUAACUAGUAGUUUUAUUUAUUUUUCGGUAUUUGGUACACAAAUUAAAGAAAAUAACUUUUCAAAAGUAUUCAUAAAUAAUUUAGAUACAAUAAAUAUAAGUCAUAGAUUUUCGAACCAACAACCUUUUGAACUCACCAAUUUCAUAAACUUUCGAAUGACUAAAUUUUGGAAACUGCGAACUUUCAAACCUUUAAACUUUAUAAUUUCUAAAUGCGUAAACUUUCAAACACAUAAACCUCCAAACUCAUAAAUUUGGAACUUAUAAAAUUUUGAACAUGUAAACCAAAAGAUGAAAAAACUAAAACUGAAAUUAUAUUUUAAAGAAAAGAAUCCGGGGAGGGGNNNNNNNNNNNNNNNNNNNNNNNNNNNNNNNNNNNNNNNNNNNNNNNNNNNNNNNNNNNNNNNNNNNNNNNNNNNNNNNNNNNNNNNNNNNNNNNNNNNNNNNNNNNNNNNNNNNNNNNNNNNNNNNNNNNNNNNNNNNNNNNNNNNNNNNNNNNNNNNNNNNNNNNNNNNNNNNNNNNNNNNNNNNNNNNNNNNNNNNNNNNNNNNNNNNNNNNNNNNNNNNNNNNNNNNNNNNNNNNNNNNNNNNNNNNNNNNNNNNNNNNNNNNNNNNNNNGGGGGGAGUAGCGAGGUGGGUGGUGAUGGGAAAAAAACUUUUUCAGGGAGAGGGGGUGGCUGGGUAGGGAUUGGGUAGGUUCGAUCGAACCCGCACCUAAUUUGCUAGCUCCAAACAUGAAUCACCUAUGAUUACUGAAUUGUAUCUUAUUUUUUGUCAAUAUCUCCUAUAUAUACAAUAAAAAAAUUAACCUUAAAAUCAAGUGUCAUGUGGAAGCUAGCAAAUCAACCUUGAGCAACGAUAAAUCGUACAAUAAAGAGAAAUAUACCAAAAGAAACACAAAUAUAUAACGUGGUUUGAUCAACUGACCUACAUCGACGGUGGAGAUGAGCAAUCCCCUAUAAUAAAAGAGGAUACAAAUAUCGAGAGAACAACCUCACGAAGAGGUAAACACAAGUGAAACGCUAACACUUGUCCCGUAGAGAUCUCCCCCUAAGCACGACUCUCAAGCCCCCAUAUGACUACAUUGUGAAUGCUACUCAAUGAGAAAGAUGGAUCUUCAAUUUAUAGAGCCCUAAACAGUUUCCUACAAGAAAAGAAACUAGCCAAAUAUGAAAUAAUUAUAUUUUCUUUCUAGAAAAAAAAUUCAACUAUAAUAAAUAUGUUAUCAUUUCCUUCGUGAGAUAGGAAAUUCGAAUAAACCCCUUUCGUCCCUGCUCGGUCCCAGCGAGCCCAAAUGCAAAGGUCUCGAAUGAGAACCAAAACUUGAUUAAUUCGAACCAAAACUUGAUUAAUUCGAACCUAAACCAACAGCAGCUGGGGCUUAGCUGCAGCAAUUCAAGGAAAAGUAGAACAAUGUCCUCAUAGAAGACAUUCCGUUGCACUACAACAUUAUACAUAUACAGCUACAAAGUGCAUACAUUUGUUCAAAGAAGUAUAUCAUUUCACUCCAUACCUAAAUAAUGAUCAACACUUAUUCAAAACAUACUGAAGUACAAUAAACUUGUGGAGUACUUAAAUUAUAUCACAUUUACAACUUGAUAUGGUGAUCAACAUGUUCUCUAAGUAAACUUCUAUCUUAGUGCAGUUCCUAGCACUAUGGACAUCGAAUAAUCUUAGUGGAAAAGGUGACAUACACAGCCAACAGAACAAUAGAAACGGAUAAAACCUGGUGUAAGAACUUCAAGGAUUUAUGAAACCUUCUACCCUAAUAUUAUCCUUCCGCGAUAGAAACUUCAUGCAAAUAGGAGGAUUCACGCCUGCCAAAGCUAGUAUCGAACUUGGCAAGGUCCAGAUUCCAUCACCACAAAUUAGUCCAGAUGCAACGGCAGGUCCAAAUGCAUCAGCCUUAACCUUGUCUAUCUUUGUCCAGAUGAACAAGAUCAGGCUCCCGAGACACAUAUCAAUAGCAAAGUAGGAUCCAAGAUAGAACGGUAUGGCCAUUGCCAUUGGAAGAGGAAUAUACUUCGCCUUGUUCUUUCCUACAGCGUCCCUUAAGGCGUUGAUGGCAAUAGCUCCAAGGAAGAAUACGUAACAAAGGGUGAGACAGUUUUUAGGUAGAGCUGAGAAACCUUCGACUCCCAAGAUAGACAUGUUACGGUAGACAAGAGCAUAAGGGGCAGGAUAUUCCGAACCUGGAACGCCUAAGUCGUGGAACGCCUUGUAGAAGAGCCAAAAUACACAAGGAGAGAUGACGCAGCCCAUUGCUGUUCCGAUUAUCUGGCUUAUGAACAUGGACCGAGGAGAAGCCAAUGUCAUGUAUCCAGUUUUGAAGUCCUGUGUUAGGUCGGAUGCAGUGGAGACGAUGUUCAUCAUCACACCACAAGCAGCUAAUCCUGCUAGAACCCCACCAUGAGCGGCCCCGGCCCAUGCUCCAAUUGUGAAAAUGGCCAGCUUUCCGUACGUAGAUGCCAAUGACCAGUCGGUGAGACCACAGCCAUAAGCAUUGCAGAAGGCUAGUAUUGGUGCAAAAAUAUAAAUUACCACGAUAUAGUACCAUUUAAGUUGAUGGAAAAUAUGCGGAAGUGUUACAGUGGAGACGAUGGCAAUGCUAACGUAACCAGCUAUUGCGACCCACAUUGGGAUUUGAUCCUUGAGGAAAAGCUCGGUUCGUAUCUGAUCAUCAUAAGAUAAAGAAGGCUCUGUAGGAGAUCCACGGGCACCAACAGGAAGGACGGACACUGCUCUUUUCUCACGGAUUUGGAAAUAUAUACCAUAUAAUGUUCGUCCAAGUACUUUGCAGAAGUUGUAGAGACCAUCACCAAGGAUCAUGGCGAUUGCUAUGAAGACCUGCAAUACAAGAUCAUUAUGGAAACCCAAUAAGCCUCAUUUCAGUUUUAUAAAAGAAUCAAGAUUGUAGACUCAUAUUCAUUGUUCUUCUCCAAAAGAGAUGGAGAAAAGGGGAGAAUACCCUGUAACCUUGUAUGCCAUGAAGGCUGCUGGCGCUUUGAUUAGCAGGGUACCAAUGACCUUUUCUGUCUUGAAUAAGAGGCCACAUUAUACCCCAUGAAAGGAUAGCUCCAACUAGCAAAGAUAUGUUUAUCAGAUAAGGACAUAUCAUCCCAACACCAACAUAUGUUGCCGAGAAGUCAAAGUAAAACCUGGUCGAUUGGAGAAAUAAGUCGAAAGAUUAAAAUGAUAAACAGGUAAAAGUUAGCUAUACGAGUUGAGAUGUCCUACUGAGAGAACAAAUAAAUAUUACCUGUUCUCGUAGGCUUUGAGGCCGAAUGUGGGAAAAUUCACAAAACCGCAGCCAUCUCCUGCUGUGAAAAACCACUGGAAGAAACCCCAUAAGAAGCUAAAACUGAAAAACUUUCCCAGAGCUUUUACUUGUUUCCUGCAGUUAGCAUUAAGGAAAAAAAAAGAAUUAGUACUUUCAUUUAUAAGUAACGCUCGUCCAUAUACAAAAGACUCACUUGGCUAGCUUAGCUCCUUGCGGCGUAUGGAAACUGUUGAUCAGGUGAGCAGUUGCAGUUCCACUUGGAUAAAUCAGUUUGAAGUCUAUGAUCAUAAUCUGAAACAUAUAUACAUGCAUUAUCUCAAUACCGCAAUUUAUAUUUUAUCUGAACAAAGAAUUAUAACUGCAUCAAUUGUGAGCCAUUCAUUCCAAAACUACUAUGGUACAUCUCCAACUUUUGAAUCUUUUCUCUACCUCUCAAAAAAAAAAAAAAAAACGGAUGAAAAUCAUAUCUUAUGAAAAGGAAAAAGGUCAAAAUUUUCCCUGUACUACACAAAAUUUCCUCACUUUGUCCUCUAUUACGAUUUAAGUCUGUUCAUAUCCUUGUCGACAACAAACCAAAAGGCAGCCCCGGUGCACAAGACAUCCCGCAUUACGCAGGGCUGGGGGAAGGGCAAGACUUUAAGGGGUGAGCUGUAGACAACCUACUCUAAUACAAGUAUUAACGGAUCUUUCAAGGUUUGAACCUGAUCUAUAUGGGCAACAACAACAAACAACAAACCAGUAAAAUUAGUGGAGUCGGGGAGGAUAGGAUGUACGCCUCACCCCUACCUGGAGAAGGUAGAGAGGCUGUUUCCAAAAAGCCAUCGGCUCAGGAUGACCUAAAGGGGCAAGUGUCUCGUACUAUAGGUGCAAAUUUGAACCUUUACCCCUUAUAAAAGUUUGAACAAAGUAUUGACUAUAGCUUAUAGAAGUUCCAUUGUGCUGGAAAACAUGAUAGUAUAACAUAUGAAUUAGAGAUGUUGUGAGUUAAGAAUGUACCUUACGAAGAGGAACAACUGAGAAAAGUCCAAGAAAGCUAACAACAAAAAGGAAACAAAUCAUCCAUCCCAAAGAAGGGUUCUUGAUAUUCUCUGCAGCAUUAUCUUCAUUUGACUGUUUAGCAAUAACUUCACUCAUGCCAAAAAGAUAGCUUCCAAAACCUCCUGCUCAUCAAAAAGUAAUAUGUAAAUAAACCAAAUAUGAGCUAUUGCAUUUUGAGCUGCUUUUAGCACCUUAAAAAGAACCGGAAGAGAAGAUGUUAAUUUCUCGUGUGGUUUAACGUGGUGUGAUAUUGUCCGUAUUAGGGCAAGCGCACACUCCUCACACCAUUAAGAGUACCCAAUGGUGUGAGGUUGGGUGCGGACCUUCCCUGGCGCUAGCUUGAAUGCAUGAUGCUUUAUGCAGCGGACUAGCUUUUUUUUUUUUACUUUCCAUAUGGAGCUUUGGACACGCACCCAACAAAUUCACCUGUAAAUAUCUACUGCUCAUAUUUCAAAUCAGUGGGAGCAAUCUUCUUUUCCAUCUUAUUGUUUGGACUGUUAAUUAUUUUUAAAUUCAUCAGCUAAUUAAUAGGAAAAUGCCUGAUAAGAUUUCCAAAACUUGUAGAGAUCAUAGCCCAGGUUCCAGUAACAAACAAUUUAAGAAACAUUACAGAAGGCAUAAAAUUGUCAUAUAAUUCUUUACAUUUUUUUUAGCAAUUUCUCCAAUUUUAGCAACCAUUAUUUCACUUGAAAUACACUUCAAACAAGUCUUUAAAAUUUCACAAGUAUUGAAGUUCAGUGGUGGACGUAGCACAACAACUACUUCGAGUUUAACUAUAGAUAAUUAAAUGAUUAUAAGUUUCUUUAUGUGUUUGUAUUAAAACUUUCGACAUGUUGUUAUGCACUAGUAAUGGAUUAUAACUUAUGAUUAAGAUCCUUAAUCUGGAUCUGGCCAUGUUAGUAGUCAGAACAGAAGGGUUAUUUUUUUCCAAUAUAUGCAGUUCUUCUGGAUAUACAAUAUCUCGGAUAUAGCACAUCGGAAAAAACUUUUAUCUCUAUUAUAAGGUAUAUAUUACUCUUCUCGGAUCUUGGAAUAUACUGGUUAUCAGCAUAUAAAACUACCCUUUCCAAACCUCACACUGUGAGAAUAUAUUGGAUGUCUGUCUAUACGUUAUCCUCAACACGCUCCAUACUAUGAGAAUAUACUGGACGUUUGCAUAUAUAUUAUCUUUCCCGUACCCCACACUAUGAGAAUAUCAUGGUGGUUUGCGUAUACAGUACCCUCCCCAAACCUCACACUAUAAAAAUAUAAUGGACGUUUACAUAUAUAUUAUUUUUUCCGAACCGUACAUAUUAAAAUAUAGUGAGUAUGUUGUUGUUAUUGUAUACUGUAUCACGGAUAUAAUUGUGCAAAAUGAUGAUCAACAUUAUUAGGUUGACCCACCACUUGCGGGGAUGAUGAUAACAAAGACUUAAAAUAAUGUGUAUAGCAAAUUUCCAGCUUGCGAAAGUGGUAAUCAGAUUAUUCCAACAAGUCAAGUAAAUAACACUCCUGUUGCUGCAAAGACUUUUAAAUUAGUCAAUAAUUUACACUAUUGACUAAACUCAUUAAUUAUUAAUUUACAGAAUCCAAGAAUAUACUAAUUCACCAACCUGAAUUAUUUUUUUAAAACUAUUCUACACAGAAAUUGAUAACAAAGUUUAAAUCACAAGUCAUCUUAGAAAGGGACUUACAAGUGCAAAAUAUUGAAUCGGUGAUAUUUCUAUACACUAUGGACUCCACAAAACUACAACAAAGCAAGAAGCCUAAAGAGAAAUAAACAAAUAUCCCGUGGACCAAAUUAUAAUGACAUAGUAUAUAGUCCAACAUUACAGCACACAUUAAUGGCGAUAUCACUUUGUUUCUUUCUUCAUUUAAUUGCAAAAUGAAAUAAACAUAUGCUUUGACAAAAAAUACAAUUCAAGCUUUUGUUUUCCAACCCCACCUUUAUGGAAAGUGAUUUUCACAUUAAGUAAAAACGUACUCAUCGACUAAACAAAACUCUUUUUGUGAAGUCAAACUUAAAUUGAAUUCUCUUUUAUAAUUAAUUUAAUCACUUAAAAGAUAAAUAACGGGAUUCGUCAAAGUAAAAUUAGUAACGUAAACAAAAGACAGAUUAUUUGCUACUAUUAAAAUUUUACUAGACCCUUCACUCAAGUAACAAUGCUUAUAGGAAGGAAAAAAAAAAAUUACAUCCAUAUAUUAUAUCAUACAGGUCCAACUUGGUUAUCAUAAGAAAAUAUUAAAAAAAAUUAAUAUAUGUAGAUGAAUAUAACUAAAAGUUUAAUUAUUUAUAUACUGUAAUAAAACAAUAACAGCCCGGCAAAAUUUCAUUAAUAGAAUUUGAGGAGAAUAAUAUAUAGAUGAACCUUAUUCAUUUUAUACACUAAUAAUAGUAGUACUAUAUUAGUCACUUGAAAAAAUAAUUACAAUUAGCAACUCGACAAAUAAGAUGGUUAAGCUACACUGACAAUAUUAUUACACUACCAGUUAAAUCUCGUAAAAGUUACGAAAACAUCAAUAACAACAAAUUUAGUAUGCUUUUAUGAGUGGGGUUUAGAGAGGUGAGUAUAUGCACAACUUUAUUUUUUCUUACGAAGCUAAAAAGGUUGUUUUUAAUAAAUAAUCCGUUAAAAAAACAAAAUCUUAUAAAAGUUAAUCAUGUUUAAUUUGCAUAAUUUUUUGAGUAGGAUAUAAAGACCGGAUGAAAUCAAACUAAAGAAUUACUUACCACUAAAUGCUAUGCCAGAAGUUGCAACAACACAAGUCUGAAUAACUGUAUUUUCUUGACGAGUAAAUGGCUGUUUUAGCCAACCAGAUUUCUCAAGAAACUUAGUCCAAGUUUUGACAAAGAAGAAUCCCAAAAGACCAGCAGAAACAUUAAGAGAAGGGAUAAUUCCAGUAGUAAGAUUUAACUUCAUAACAAUGAAAGUGAAUAGAACUCCCAAUACAAAGCUCACAAAAAAUGCUCUGAAUGUUAAUUGACUUUGCCAUGUUGGAACUUCUUUUGACUCAAAAAUUCUUUCUACAGAUAGUGUAGAUUCUUCUUCUUGUUCUGAUUCUAAAUGGGAUUCAUUGGUUUUUUUGGCAAGAAAAUCAACUUGAGAAUUUGUUGAGUAUUCAUUAGAAGAAUAUGGUUCUCUCCUAUUAUUACUGUUGGAUCUAUCCAUGGUUUUUGUGGUGUAUACAAAAAGUAUACUCUUUUUUUGUGGGGUUGUUUAAUUUGCUUUGUUUUCUUGAAAUGAGGAUUGGUAUUUAUUGAAUUGAAGAAGAAAGGUGAACAAAAAUGCGUGCUGCUAAGUGGGUCACACUAUAUUGUAUACUAUAAGAUUUUUUCAUAUCCAAAUAAAUGGAAAUGGUUGUCCUUAUAAGGUGGAGGGUGCGUGGAAUUGGUGAGGCGUGAGGGGNNNNNNNNNNNNNNNNNNNNNNNNNNNNNNNNNNNNNNNNNNNNNNNNNNNNNNNNNNNNNNNNNNNNNNNNNNNNNNNNNNNNNNNNNNNNNNNNNNNNNNNNNNNNNNNNNNNNNNNNNNNNNNNNNNNNNNNNNNNNNNNNNNNNNNNNNNNNNNNNNNNNNNNNNNNNNNNNNNNNNNNNNNNNNNNNNNNNNNNNNNNNNNNNNNNNNNNNNNNNNNNNNNNNNNNNNNNNNNNNNNNNNNNNNNNNNNNNNNNNNNNNNNNNNNNNNNNNNNNNNNNNNNNNNNNNNNNNNNNNNNNNNNNNNNNNNNNNNNNNNNNNNNNNNNNNNNNNNNNNNNNNNNNNNNNNNNNGGGGUGAAUAUAACCAUCAUAUGGCAUUACUGUAAUCGUUUUAUAUGAAAUAUUGAAUUGAACGCUUUCUUGAUAGAGAUGUAGAUGGUUUUGUUUUCAUCGUUUCAAUUUACGUGACACUAUUAUUAUUGAUGGGAUAAAAAAAAUUUCAUUACUUUUUAAAAUAUUUAAUCUAUUAAUUAUUAUAAUUUAUAACAAUUUUUAUAAUAUAAUUUUAAAUAUAUAAAGCUUAUUUCAAAACACUCAUAAAUCGCAAAUCAAGUUGACAUUAAAAAUUACUCCCUGCGUCCCAUUAUAUGAGAUGGGAUAUGGAAUACGAGGUCAAACUAUUUAACUUAAGUGUAAAUUCUGACAUAAUAUCUCUAAAUUUUUGAAAUAAAAUUUAAGUAUUUGAAAUUAUAUAAAAAUUAUAAGUCAUAAUAAUUAAUAAUUUGAAAUAUUCAAAAGACAUGUAAGAAAAUCACAUUCAAAGAAAAGUCUCUUGACUCUCCAAAGCGUAAUCGUGUGGACAGAGCGAAUAAGUAAUUUACCUCUUAUAGCAUGUGUUUAGGAGGCAAGGUGGGUAAGGUCGAGGGCGAGGGAUGCGGACGGAUAUAGACUUUGGUACUCAGCAUUCCAGAAGGGUAAGAAUGGAGCGGAAAUCUUGGUGAAUAGAGAAUUUAGAGAGUCUGUGGUUGAAAUUAGACUAGUGAAUGAUAUAUUGAUGAUUAUUAAGUUGGUGGUUGGAGAGCUCAUCCUAAACUUUAUUAGCGCCUAUUCGCUGCAUGUGAGCCUAGAUAAGGAGGUUAAACUGCGCUUCUGGGAUGGGUUAGAUGAGGUUUCGCGCUAGGUUCCGCCUACUGAGAAAUUCAUAGGAGGAGAUUUCAAUGGUCAUACUGGGUCGACCACCGGUGGUUAUAGUGAGGGGUAUGGAGGCUUCAAUUUUAGGGAGAAGAAUGGAUGAGGUACCUCGUUGUUGGACUUCGCUAAGGCUUUUAGGUUGGUGAUUAAGAACUCUAGCCUUCCGAAGAGGGAAGAACAUUUGGUUACUUUUCAAAAUGCAGUGGCGAAGAUUCAGAUUGAUUAUCUCCUCUUCAUAAGAUGUGGCAGAGGGUUAUUUCUUUUAAAAGAAGAUUAGAGGACGAAAGAAGAAGCUCUUACAUCGGAUAAAGCCUAAUUCCACUGUCCUUUGAAGAUUAGAAGAUAGUGAAGGCCGAUUUCCUUUUUAAAGAUCACUCAACGAUGUGGCAAAUCCCCUUUUUUAAGUCUAUGAAUUGGAAGCAGGAAAGACUCUUCUUGAAAGCGAGUUCAGUGGCUCUCUGGUGAGGGGCACGAACGGUAUAACAUAGUUGCCACGAAGACACUUUUUUUUUUCUCUUUCUGUUUUUGAGGUCUGAUCCGAAGGUAAACUCUAGACACAUCGCACAUGCGAUUGACGGCUUUUGGAUCGAAGGAGAAGCUAGGGUUCAAAAGGGCCAAUGAAACUGCUAGUGGACUGACUUUCUAGGCCUUCUCUCUUGCAAAUGAACUAAAGGCUAGGCGCCUCAGGGAAAUGUAUAGUGCUGCGGGAGUCCGUUCACCUUGAAGUGGAACUGUUGUGGCGGGGAAUGUCACUAGUUGUGAUGCUUGCUGCUCUGGUUCCCUUUCGCCCCUCUUACAACACAAGAAAGAAGGUGAGAGUAAGCACGACUUUCUUCUUCUCUUAACUAUAUCCUAGUUAAGAGAAGAAGAAAGUCUAGCCGGAAUAAGGCCUAAGGGGAAGUACGUAAUACAGAUCACAUGGUCUUUUACUGAUCCUCUUUCGAGCUGUCGAGUGACAAUUGGCCGAGGGGCCCUUUUUUCUUUUAUAAGGGAAGAGAUUGUAGCUGGGUACAAAUAGGCCGGGACGAGUAGGCAAGCACGCGGGUUGUACCGGUCAGCUUUGAGCUGUCGAGUGACGAUUGCUCCAUCUCUUAAGAAAGGACGCGGGGGGCCUGUCUUAUAAUAAAGGGGGUACUCUAGACGAGUAGGCAAGCAGGCGGGUUGUACCGGUCAGCUUUGAGCUGUCGAGUGACGAUUGCUCCAUCUCUUAAGGAAGGAUGCGGGGAGCCUGUCUUAUAAUAAAGGGGGUACUCUCUUCUCUGAUGUGCGCUAUAUUAUUGUGGCCUAUUCCUUAAGGAGUGAUCCGGGAUUAAGCCACGUGGCGAUACCCGCCAAAAGAAAGGGGGCCUUUCGUACGGAUUGGAGUACGAAGAUAAUUAUUCAGCACACUAAAAUCUAGUGGAUGGGGUUCCAUAUUCAUGAAAAGCCGGGGUUGAAACAUGUUAUGAAACUAAGACAACAAUUAUUUCUAAUUGGAUUGGAGUACGAUGAUAAUUAUUCGGCGCACUAAAAUCUAGUAGAUGGGGUUCCAUAUUCAUGACUUUCAUACUUCUGACGUCGACUCAUCUUGCUUGGAAGUCUUAUGAAUGCAGCAAAAACUAAGGGUUCCUCUACAGUCAAUUGUGGAAAAAGCACAUCAUCUUGUGUCACGAAACCCACCUAGCACACCAUUGCUCAAUUCGGUAUGGAAGUUAAUACAAAAUCAUGUACAUUGAAAGAAAGACUUUUCUAUAUUCUUGGUUUGCUUUGGGCCCAGGAAAAGAAGGGAAUGAGCUCGGCUGCUUCUCCUCAACACUUUUUUUUCUCCGUGCCCGUUCCGCAUGCGCUUCGCGCGCCAUUGGCUCUUUGCUCUCCUCUUAUUCUUCAUUGGACGGUUCGGAUGGACUUCGCCGUUCUUUCCCAACAAAAAUCGAAAGGGCUGUAUCACAUCGAGAUGUCGAUUAGACGGUUUGGAUGGACUUCGCCGUUCUUUCCCAACAAAAAUCGAAAGGGUUGUAUCACAUCGAGAUGUCGAUUCGUUCCCUAUUUAUACUUUUGGGCCCUUCAUCUUUCUGAAUUGAGACCCGGCCCGGCUCGCGUCCUUCCAACAACCAGCGGGGAGCACCUCAGUAUAUGAUAUUGCGCAGUAACUGGGAGUCCUAUUACACCUAAGGCCAACUUCAAUUCACCAAACCAAGGUUCAUCUCGUGUAGUCAUUGUGGACUCGUACAAGGAUAUUGAGUAGACGGUUGAUGUAUCAGACUCGACCCUAUCUUUCGUAGCAUGCAUUCCCAUCCGUGUCGCAACUGAUUCGGUAAGCUACGUGUCCGGUGCACGAAUUCAUUGUGGACUCGUACAAGGACCCUUUAGAGAUAGGGGCGAGCAAAAGAGCUCGUUCUUCCAUUUUGAGAUCUUUAGAUUCGUAUGAUCAUAAUAGAGUCCCUUUACUUUCUAUUAUAUUAGUCAAGAGCUAGCGCCCUACAACUACUAUAGUAUAGCAGAGCAGCCAGCUUCAAAGCUUACCCGAUUCUAAAAAGAAGUAUUAUUAUAAAAGAGAAAGGUUAGGGGGCUGAGAAACUCUUGCUUGCUGCUUGCUGUCUACUUUGCGAGCCUUCACUUCCCUGUUCUGUAACUUCCUUUUUUUCGUCCGUCCACAACUCUGUAAUAAGAGAGAAAGGGGCGGCUAUCUAGCGGGAGUCGUUUCGGUUGUAUGCCACGAGGUCCCUAUGGACAAGGGGACAAGUGAAUCAUCGCUUUUGGGCGCAGGCAGCCCUCUACCAUCUAUCCCAUUGCAUUCCAUCGUCUCGUAUUGUACUGUGCCGUAUCAGACCAGAUAGAUCUAUUGAGUGAGAGAAAGGGAGAAAACUCUAAUUAGAUAUUCUUUUUAUAUUGAUAGGGAUCCCCAUUCAUUCCUAGAUUCCCGUCACUACGGACUGAUUGUCCCUACCUAACUACAUGGUAGUGGUCUAGGGAGCGCAAUUGCUAGAGCACGGGAGAAUUAAGAGUAAUGAUUUCAGCAAGAGCAGCA
This 30313-nucleotide long non-coding RNA is filed under the name Nicotiana benthamiana. RNAcentral describes it as "long non-coding RNA (NBEN_LNC020950)". The stretch from base 17150 to 17245 matches the Rfam family "MIR6152 microRNA precursor family". Lineage: Eukaryota; Viridiplantae; Streptophyta; Magnoliopsida; Solanales; Solanaceae. The record is from RNAcentral.